Triticum dicoccoides is the source of this 3045-nucleotide long non-coding RNA. RefSeq lists it as uncharacterized. The record is from RefSeq and is a predicted model, not a curated record. The transcript has 6 exons. Lineage: Eukaryota; Viridiplantae; Streptophyta; Magnoliopsida; Poales; Poaceae.
CAUGCCGCAACCCUCCCUUCCUCCUCUCCCUCUCUCUCUAAGCGGCCGCCACAACACGAAGCCACAAACCCUAGCCCCCUCCUUCUCCCUUGCAUGUGUGCUCGUCGCCGCCUUCCCCCCUCUUCCCCAUCGUUGCGCCAAUGCCUCCACCGGCUACAAUGGAUCCAUGGCUGAUGGGCGGGUACGAGGCAGCGAAGGACGCCGUCCUCGACCCGUCGCUUAGGCUGGUGGAGCACAGGUUAGGUUUGGGCGCAAGGACUGGCACCGGCGGGGAAAAGCGUCGGGGGUUGAUGCAGCGGCAAAUACGGGCAGGGUCGGCCGCGGAGGGAGGCUCGCCGUCCGGAGCAGCAGCAGCAAAGAGGCAGGUCGGCCAUGGAAGGGAGGCUCGCCGGCCGGAGCAGUAGGAGCAAGGAGGCGGGGUCGACCGUGGAAGGGAGGCUCGCUGGCAGAAGCAGCAGGAGCAACUGCAGCAGGUGCUAGUCGGCCCGACGCACCGUGUCAGCCUCGCCUCCUUAGUUGCGGCCCACACGCUCGAGAGGGGCAGCUGUGCCGUCACUGGUGGCAAGUUCAGCGGACGCCACCUCCUCUUCUAUUCGAACCCAGUAAGCCCUCUCGUGAGAGCAUCAGGGGAUGUCGUGCCCUCAAAAUCAGGUCCAUAUUGUUAUUCCUUGUCAGGGAGGAUAAUAUUCAUUUGACGAUGUCGUGCCCUCAACAUCAGGUCCAUUGUGCAGAUUGUUAUUCCUUGUCAGGGAGGAUAAUAUUCAUUUGAAGGACUUAUUAGGCCCAGAAUAUUUAGCUGGUAAGAUACCAUGUUUGUAUGAUUCAUCCAUCUCUCUAAUUCUGACCUUACAGAUCAACUUAUCUCCCUGCACCCUUCUAAAUCUGGUGCUGCUACAUUUUUUCUUACAUGGGUAUAUGUAUGAGAUUUUUUCGUUUAGGUAUAUUUGUGCCUAAAAGAAGUUCACAUCUAUUUUCUUGUUAGAUGAGUCUGCUUCCGUUUGCUCGCUGUACGUAGGUUGCAGGAAUGAGAAUACUUAUGGGAUCACAUGAAUGAGCUGUUGAAGUCCUGGAUGCUCCAAAAUUGUAUCAUUGAUCCCACACAGUGGUUACAAUCCCAGUCUUUGAAUCACAAUAGACAAGACCAUAUUUCACAUUUUGUAUAGUCCAGCUAAUAAUACACAUGGGGCCUGGUGAUGGUUUUCAAUAUAUUGUGAUAGUAGUUUCGUGCAUUGAUUAUUUAAUGAGCCACCCUUCUGUUUCCAACUCGAACUGGUGCAAUAGUUAAAUAGAUGUGUUCGUGCCAUUUAGCCUCCAAAUUCAGUUCAGUUCGGCUGUACAUCUUUUGCCGAACCCUUUUCUUGGUACUGAUUGACCUUUGUAUGUUUAUAUUUUUUUUAUUGCAGUUUUCCUUCAGUCCUUCCUCUUAGCGUAUAAUCUUGAUUGUGUGAGUUUCUUUCCUGGCAGGGUAUUUAUGAUUCAGACCAUUCUAUAACAAAAUGCAUAUAUGUCCUCACGGUAGGAGUUCAGCUUCAGAGUGCAUCAAGUUUGUGUCAAAUUUAUCGUUCUAUUUUGGAACAAUAUACUUCCACAAGUUUUUUUCUAACGAUUACAUAUAAUACUUCCACAUAUCAUCUUACAAAAUGGAAGUACAGAGGAAUUAGUAUAUAGAAGUUAUGAUUGUUGUGCAGGGUGAUCUCUGAAGAUGGAUUGCAGGUAAGUAGAUUAACAAUUUAGUACUGACCCUAUUUCUGUUGAUACUUCAUUUUACUCAAUCUUUCGUAAUGAUCGUAAGCAUAAAGUUGGGUUGCAUUGCCAUGUAACGAAUGGAUAUCCUAAACCUAAGAAAGUACCAACGCAGAUGAUUGUUUGUUAGGAAUAUCAUCAUGUUAUUACAGUAAAGAUGGCUAUCUGUAGCACCUUCUAUAGAUCGGUUUACUAUUAGGAAUAUCAUUCAACCUCUGUACUAUGUAUUACCGCUACAAAUUUGGCUAGGGAAUCUGUCUCAUUUUAAUGUUGCGAUGAAGUGGUUGGGAUGGAGAGCGUUUUUUACUUGACUAUUUUUUGACCUAUAUAUCUUUCUGUUUUGUGCAAGUUCAAAGUAUUAGUAGUUUCAGUUUGUCCAAUUUUUGCAGGGAUAUUGUGUGAGGUCUGGUACAAACUUUAAGAUAAUCACUUAAUACAUUCAUGGGAUAACCAACUUUUGGCGUUUGAUGAUACUAGCUAGGUGGGGCCAUGAAUUCCUAGAAUGUUGUGGCAAUUAUCCUGCUUCGCUUGCAAGAUUGGUUUCUAAAAAUAUCAUGGUAGUUGUAAUUUCAGAUUGCUGCUGAUUUGACUAAAUAUGUUUUGAUUGUUUUUAAGCUUUGUUUCUUUACUGUGUGCAAAACUAAUUCAUUCCUAACUAAAUCUUUCAAUGGUUGAUGGGAACACUACAGAUCUUGCUUCUCUGCUUUUUUCAUGUACAAACCGAGGCAUGUGGGCGCGAUGGCGGGCAUCUCCGGCAGCAGCGGCGACCUGCAGGCAAGAGGCAACGGCUGGGGUGUUUGAUUUGAUCCAGCGCCAUGGCCCAGUCCCUGCGGGAGAGAGAGAUGAGGGACAGAGAGAGAAGGAAGGAGAGGAGGGAGAAAGAGAGAGGGAGGUGAAUGCACUGGACUCUUCAAGAUCGAGGGCACCAUUGGAAAGGCCGAGUGCGUCCAUCGACAGCUUGCCCAGUGUCCGGAUUCACCAAGCAGUACAACCGGAGACGCUGUCGGCUGCCUGCAGGCACCAAGCCGCCCGCUGUUGUCUCUGCCCGAAGAAGGAUUAUGGUUCUCCACCUCUUUGCUACUCAUAUUAAAAUUCCGACUCCUUUAUUUUGCCAUAAAGGGCAGGAGUUGUGCCAUUUGACUUGACGUACAAAGCGUUCAUCACAAGGGGGUGGUCUUUAGGAUAUAUACACAAAAGAGGAAAUUUCCUUUUGUAUAGAACCAAAUUAUAUGAUGUAAUUCAGUUCAAAUUUUUUAUAUGAUGUAAUUGACCACUAUUUUUAUGAGAUUCUCCUGUACACAA